This 73-nucleotide transfer RNA is filed under the name Candidatus Servula neotermitis. RNAcentral's name for it is "tRNA-Gly". It matches the Rfam family "tRNA". From Rfam's summary of the family: Transfer RNA (tRNA) molecules are approximately 80 nucleotides in length. Their secondary structure includes four short double-helical elements and three loops (D, anti-codon, and T loops). Further hydrogen bonds mediate the characteristic L-shaped molecular structure. tRNAs have two regions of fundamental functional importance: the anti-codon, which is responsible for specific mRNA codon recognition, and the 3' end, to which the tRNAs corresponding amino acid is attached (by aminoacyl-tRNA synthetases). tRNAs cope with the degeneracy of the genetic code in two manners: having more than one tRNA (with a specific anti-codon) for a particular amino acid; and 'wobble' base-pairing, i.e. permitting non-standard base-pairing at the 3rd anti-codon position. Lineage: Bacteria; Bacillati; Actinomycetota; Actinomycetes; Bifidobacteriales; Bifidobacteriaceae. The record is from RNAcentral.
GCGGAUAUAGCUCAGUUGGUAGAGCGUCACCUUGCCAAGGUGAAGGUCACGAGUUCGAGCCUCGCUAUCCGCU